CACCUACGGGAGGCAGCAGUGAGGAAUAUUGGUCAAUGGGCGCGAGCCUGAACCAGCCAAGUAGCGUGAAGGAUGACUGCCAUACGGGUUGUAAACUUCUUUUAUAAAGGAAUAAAGAGAGGCACGUGUGCCUUUUUGUAUGUACUUUAUGAAUAAGGAUCGGCUAACUCCGUGCCAGCAGCCGCGGUAAUACGGAGGAUCCGCGCGUUAUCCGGAUUUAUUGGGUUUAAAGGGAGCGUAGAUGGGUUGUUAAGUCAGUUGUGAAAGUGUGCGGCUCAACCGUAAAGUUGCAAUAUAUACUGUCA
Molecule: ribosomal RNA, 305 nt
Filed under: uncultured bacterium
Lineage: Bacteria
Description: bacterial SSU rRNA
Rfam family: Bacterial small subunit ribosomal RNA
Source: RNAcentral